AUUGAACGCUGGCGGCAUGCCUUACACAUGCAAGUCGAACGGCAGCGGGGGAGAAGCUUGCUUUUCCUGCCGGCGAGUGGCGAACGGGUGAGUAAUACAUCGGAACGUGCCCUGUAGUGGGGGAUAACUAGUCGAAAGAUUAGCUAAUACCGCAUACGACCUGAGGGUGAAAGUGGGGGACCGCAAGGCCUCAUGCUAUAGGAGCGGCCGAUGUCUGAUUAGCUAGUUGGUGGGGUAAAGGCCUACCAAGGCGACGAUCAGUAGCUGGUCUGAGAGGACGAUCAGCCACACUGGGACUGAGAUACGGCCGAGACUCUUACGGGAGGCAGCAGUGGGGAAUUUUGGACAAUGGGGGCAACCCUGAUCCAGCAAUGCCGCGUGAGUGAAGAAGGCCUUCGGGUUGUAAAGCUCUUUCGGACGAAACGAAACGGUUACGGUGAAAAAUCGUGACUAAUGACGGUACCGUAAGAAGAAGCACCGGCUAACUACGUGCCAGCCGCCGCGGUAA
This 508-nucleotide ribosomal RNA is filed under the name uncultured bacterium. Its description in RNAcentral is "partial 16S ribosomal RNA". It matches the Rfam family "Bacterial small subunit ribosomal RNA", at positions 30 to 523 of the family's 1533-position model. The record is from RNAcentral.